UGAACACAGCUGGUGGUAUCUGGU
Molecule: microRNA, 24 nt
Filed under: Euprymna scolopes
Lineage: Eukaryota; Metazoa; Mollusca; Cephalopoda; Sepiida; Sepiolidae
Also listed under: 3 other names
Description: Esc-Mir-317_3p (mature (guide))
Source: RNAcentral